This 304-nucleotide ribosomal RNA is filed under the name uncultured bacterium. Its description in RNAcentral is "partial 16S ribosomal RNA". It matches the Rfam family "Bacterial small subunit ribosomal RNA", at positions 506 to 807 of the family's 1533-position model. The record is from RNAcentral.
CAGCAGCCGCCGCGGUAAUACAGAGGGUGCAAGCGUUAAUCGGAAUUACUGGGCGUAAAGCGCGCGUAGGUGGUUCGCCAAGUUUGAUGUGAAAUCCCCGGGCUCAACCUGGGAACUGCAUCCAAAACUGGCGAGCUAGAGUAUGGUAGAGGGUGGUGGAAUUUCCUGUGUAGCGGUGAAAUGCGUAGAUAUAGGAAGGAACAUCAGUGGCGAAGGCGACCACCUGGACUGAUACUGACACUGAGGUGCGAAAGCGUGGGGAGCAAACAGGAUUAGAGACCCCCGUAGUCCCUGUCUCUUAUAC